Phalacrocorax carbo (great cormorant) is the source of this 5610-nucleotide non-coding RNA. NCBI's taxonomy places the organism in Eukaryota, Metazoa, Chordata, Aves, Suliformes, Phalacrocoracidae. The record is from RefSeq and is a predicted model, not a curated record.
ACCACACCUGUUUCUUGUUUAUAUAAUUCCUUCCUGAUGUGAAGAGUAUUACUCUUUCCUUUUUUUUCUCUUUUUGCAACAGAUAGCAAUCAUUUUAAAAAAGCACCUAAGCAGUAAAAAUCUUCAGAUUAUCAUUCUAUAAUUUGCUUAUUAUUUGCUCCCUGUCUCAUCUUGGCUCUUUUUCUAAUGAGCAGGAUUCCUUCACCAUUGAUUUUAUAUUCUAAAUCUCAUGCUUCUCCUUUCUGACCAAAAAAUAUGAGAAGGAAAGAAAGACCAAACCAAGUUGUGUUGCUCUAUGCUGUUUUGAUGAUUAUAUAUACAAAAGGAACCUUGCUGCAGUGCUAGUAGAAUGAUCUUGAUCAUCUGGAAAAUUUUGGCAGGGAGGAGAGACUUCACUCUGCUUUCUGCAGGUUGCUUGAACCAGUUCUUUUCCUUACCGAUUGUAGGACGUUUUGUUCAACAGGGUCUUUAAACGCUUGCAUACUAUCUUUACUUCAUAUUUCUCAAAGCACAGAAUUCAUAUUCAUCGUUCCUGAUCAUGUUCGGUAGGAAAAAUAGUCCCAGAAUAACUCUUUACUCUCCAACCUUUAUUUUUCAGUUUUGGGAGAUUUUUUUCUCUCUCUCUCUCUUUGCCCUUCAGUUAGAUCUAGAAUCAAAAAACAGCCAUUCUCUAUAUUUAGUUCACCAGUGGUAAAAGAUGUCAGAAAUCUCAGGAGACACUUGUCUCGUAGGAAGAGACAGGUCUGUAUCAAAAGUGAAUUCUUUUUAAAAUGGGCUUUAGUUUGUGGAGAUCUCAUAAGCACAUCUCUAAUCAAAAUGGAGUAAUUGCUGCACCAAAGCAGUAUUCAUACAGAAUAUACAUUUCAGUGCAGCUGAGCUUGAGAGGGAAGAUUAAAAUGAUUUCAGGAAGGGAUAUGCAUGAUUCAACACCGAGUAAAGGAAUAAUCUUUAGAGAACACAGAAAAGUGGCUCUUCUCAGAAGUAUAAUUUCUGCUGCAUGCAAAAUGCAUUAACAUGAGAAAAGAGGGUUGUGAUAAGGUUCCAUAAUACUGAAGCUACAUUUGUUUGUUCUGAUGCUCGUUGUGUGACAUCAGUAUUUAUUGCCUUACUGAUUUGCAUUAUAUGUCAAUACACAUGCAUCAUCUCUGGGGCUUCCAUGAAUCACAUUGCUCCUUUCAUUUUUCAGGUGCCACAAUGUCAGCCGGACUUGCGCUGCCUCCAUUCAAGACUGAUAAAUUCAGCAAUGAUAGUCACCCUCCUUUUUCAGUAUAUAUGCAGAAUGUCUUUGCUAAUUAAAAAUGAUCUAGCGUUGUAAAGGUACUUACAACACUGAUGUCGUUUUCAUCCCUGUGAAAACUGCACCCCUUACAACACCCCACUGAUAGAGAAUUACUACUAUUAUUUUCAUUUUACAAAUGCAAAAUUGCAAUAGACAGAAAAAAUGACUUCUCCAAGGUUAUACAGUAAGUCUAUAGCAAAGAGAGGCAUUAUCUGAGAUUUCAAAGCUUCAGGCUAGCACUAUAACUAUUGGACCAAACACUUGUCUUCUUUUCAAGAACACACAGUAUCCUAAAUAGAGAGGUGACACAAAUCCUUAGAGGAAAGAAAAUUAAUCCUAAAGCACACAUUUCAAAUCUGUAUAUAACAUUACGCCUACCGUACAAUUUUCCCAGUACAUUUCUGAAGCUUUAAGAGUAUCAAGUAUCAGAGAAGCUUAGAUUCAGGUGCUAGUCUUUUUUUUUUUUCUCUCUCCCAAAUAAGAAAAAACCCACAGGAAGUCUCCAGCAAAUAGAGAAUUAUCUCAGUUUUCAAAGUUUCAGGCUAGCAUUACAGCUAUUGGACUAAAAAUUAAUCUCGUUUUCAAGAUCCUUCAGCAUCCUGAACAAAGAGGUGAUAAUAAGCUACUGCAAAUUUGAAAGCAAGUAGGACUGUUGUUUGAUUACUUCACUGCACAGUAAGUAGAAACAAUAAAGCAUGACAUUUUCAUAUAUUUUUAACAGUGGUUGAUCAGAGUUUAAGGUAGGUGAUACUCAAGUAGGAGAAUCAGAAUGAAGAAGGGGAAGACUCUUACAUAAUGUUUAUUUUAUUAAUUCUCUCUUUUGUUCAACUCUGUUUAAAGAGAAAACAGACUGAGCUUCAGGUUAUUCUUACUACAUAAAGGUGAUAACAGUUAUUAAAUUACAAUCCCAUUAACUUAGUAUAUUAGCCUUUUUUAAAAAAACUUCAGGAGUAUUUCAGUUUGUCAAAGUAGACUGGUUCUUAAAAAUGUGGUUGAAAUCUCUUUCUGUCAAUCUAAAAUAUAGGGAAUAAAAAAAUUUUUUCCAACAGUUUUAUAAAUGGAAAGGGAACAAAACAAGCAAGAGGCAGCAUGUGCUCUAAAGCAGGCUGGGUACCAUUUGCAAAAGUCAUGUAACACACCCUGUAACAGACCGGUUCUGUUUCUUCUUCAGUUUAGUGGGAGAACUUGGGCCUUGCUUUUAGUGGUAUUAUUGAAAUAAUGAAAGAUUGGUAAGCUGGAAACAAGAGGGUAGAUAAAAUGCACAGUUCUCUUUCAAAUUCUAGGAUGGCUGUAAUAUAAGUGGUGGAAAAAGAAGAAAUAAAAAAAGAAAAAUCAUUAUGAUACAGAUGUUUACAGAUCAAUUCCAGAGACAGUCUAGUUUUGGGCCUCCUUCUUUCUCAGAUCUUUGACAGUCACAUUUGCACAUCAAGGUCUGCUGUAAAUUAAAAGCAAAGCAUGAGGUUCAAGUUGUGACAGCCUAUCACGAAGAUUUGUGAAAACUUCUGUUACCUACAAGUACAGUGUAAAUGUUCCUCAGGAGGAGGCACUGGAUCACCUGCUGGGAAAUCGGUGAUUUUCAAAGUGGUUAGAUCUCUCAGUGCUACUCAAUGUCAUCCUGUCACCAUCCAGAGGAGAAAGCAGGCUGGCUGGUUGCUCGGCUUCAGCUCCGUGAAAUAACUGUCAGCAAGGAGGCACAGAGAAAUGAAUGUUGUACCUUUUAGACCUCCACUCGCCACAACAGAAGCUCAACUUGCUGCUUUUCCUCACUUCUCUGUCCUCUGCUGGAACCAGUCACCCGAGGAAUUGCCUGGGGACAUGACUUCCUUCUAGAGUCCUGACCAUCAGAAGGGUUGGCCAUUUGCUAAGCAGAGCCACAUGUGUUAUGAUCACAGGAAGGAUGUGGUCCACUGAAGCAGAAAUCUUAGGAUGUUCAGUCCUAUGUAGAUUUCAGAGAAGGACAGAGGUGUCGGAAGGGACAGCUGUAGCUUUAUCUAGCUCGGUCUUGGAAAACUCCAGGGAUAGGAAGCCCACAACUGCUUGGGGCAAUGUCGUCUCCACAGCUUUUUUGGGGGCUGUAUCACUCUCCUAGUAAAGAAGGUUUUCCUAAUAUCCAGCCUAAACGUUCCAAGCCAAAACUUGUGGCCAUUGUCCUUCAUUUUACCAUCUGUCACUACUAGGAUGUACUGUCUUUAUCAUCUGCAGUUUCUAUGAGUUAAAUAUUUGGGGCCAGCCCAUGCUUCCUGCAAACUUUUCCUCAUGUUUGUCAGUAGUUUCACCAGCUUCGGAUCAAGCCUACAUACAAAUUUGACUAUAUCCAUUUUGGUAAUCUGAACUCAGCAAAUCUGAAUAACAACAUUAAUGGUAAUUCAUUGAACCAUGCCUGGUUAUAAUGCUGACUUCGGUUUGCAGCAAAGGAGGAGCGCGGUGCUGGAUUCUAAAAUGAAUAUGUCAAAGCAUACAUUUUGCAGAUCAGUAGAGGAUGACUGAUCUUUUUUAUGCCUCUAAACAUAUUUAUUUUUUCACUCGUAAUAUAGAAUUCUAUGGAGAGGGUUCAAAAACAAAAAAGGUAAAUUCAUUGCUAACCAGGUAAUUCCACAAAAGUAGUAUAAUUAUAUGCUUUCAAAGCUGUGCAUUAUCAUGCCUAAAUGCCAGGACAAAGACUGCUUAAAAUGCUCUUUAUAAAGAAAUAUGGUUAUUUUCUGGCUUUAGCUGAGGGAUGGGCAAAGACACGCUUAAACACCAAAUGAUUUGAGUCUAAUGUAGCAAACCAGUUAAGUGUGACCUUAAUUCUAAUGAUGAAUUUAGUUCAUAGCAAUAUCUAAAGGAUACUUAAAUUUAGCCCUUUGAUCCAGAGCACUACUUUUUUUUUCUUUUUUUUAGUGCUUGAUAUCUAUUUGAAAGUGCUAUUCUAGUGUUAACUUUGAAUUUCUCACCUUUUCACUCACAGAUAUCCCUAUUUAUCAUUUAUCUAGUAUCUGUAGUAAUAAUAUCAGUAAUAUGAUGCUAACUUAAAAGUUGAUCAAUAUUGGACAAUCUAUUACGUACAACUGCUUUUUGAAUUAGGAUAUAGCAUCCUUAACCAGAUCACUUACAAUUUUGGUACAACUCUACAGAACUGAAGAUGGUGACAUCUUUGUAGCUGACAAUAAAAAGAGGAGGAACAAGAGUCAGCAGAGAACUAAACAGCUAGCCUAAAAGAACUGGGACUGAUGAGAUUUUAUGAACGAUACUGACAAUAUUCUUAUAUUAGUAUGAAUAUUAGGAGAAAUAAAUUUAAUACAGUUGAAUUGCAUCCAUUCAACUGAACACUGCCUCUUAUCUCCAGACUUUCUGGAACUCUGGAUCCUCAUUCAGACAAACAUGACUAUUGCUUUCAUCCUUCAAAGGUAAAUUAAUUGAAUAGCAUAUAAAUAACUUGGAGCUGUUACGGGAAGAAAUAAUAAACUUGUUUCUUGAGCAUGGAUAGGAAAACUUUUACUUCACUUUUUAUAGAAUUGUAGUAAAAAAUUUGUAAAAAAUAUUUUAUCUAAAUAAAUCGCUACUACCAUCCCUUUAUAUGACCAAGGUAGCUGUUGGCUCCUGAGCUCUUGCAAACCAUCCCAGUGGUGAUUUAUAUUUCAAGUCUGCUAGAGGCACAUAGAUUCUGAAACUUAUUGAAAUCCUUUAGGUUAAAGGGUGCUAUAUAAAUCUCGUAUGCUUUAAAAUAUUUUUCCCUGUCAAUGAAUGCACACAUAUUUUCAGACAUCAAGCAGAGAUUGCACUGGGAAUUUUGCAAUACUGAUGGGAUAUUGUCACUAGCAUCACAGCAGUUAUUGAAUAAUAUGCAUAUUAAGGAAGACAACUGAGACCAGAGGUGACCUCAAAGUGAAAUUCCAAUCAGUUCAUUGCAGCUCUUUCUGGGAACAGGAGAGAUUUCAUUAUUUUGAUCUGUACUGUCAUUUGCAAUACAAGCAUACCCUUUAGUGAACCUUUCUAAAGCUGUUUAUACUUACAGAUUAAGAUUCACAGUCUACUUUCCUUUGCAGGCCAUUUAGGGAGUAUCUGCUGCAUGUGCAAGUCUUUAUACUUUUUAUUGAACUAUAUGCUUUUCCAUUUCUUUUUUCUUUGGCUAAACUAAUCGUGUGUUGAUAGGAGCUCCUACUGCAGUAGAACAAACAGCCAUGCUCUUUGUAGAGUUCAGCCAUAGAAGGAUGAAGAGGAAAGGAAUGAUUAAAAAUGUUUUCCUAAGUAUUUUCUAGUAAUCUCUAUGCUCUAUGGAAAGAGCAUCUUGAAAACCAAAGAAACAUCCAUAUAUUCAUUCCUGUCUUUACGUUUGUGAAGUAAAUGGUAAA